GUGGAGGAGUGCGACGGUCGCGGCUCGUCUAGGCGGGCCGAGGAAAGUCCGAGCUCCACAGGGCAGACUGCCAGGUAACACCUGGGCGCCGUGAGGCGACGGAAAGGGCCACAGAGAACAGACCGCCCAUCCGUGAGGGUGGGUAAGGGUGAAACGGUGGGGUAAGAGCCCACCGCGCGACUGGCAACAGUCGCGGCACGGCAACCCCCAGUCGGAGCAAGGCCAAAUAGGCGGUGAGGCUCGGCCCGAGCUGUUGGAGCCGCGGGUAGGCUGCUUGAGGUGGCGGGUGACCGCCAUCCCAGAUAGAUGACCGUACAGCGCAUGCGCUGAACAGAACUCGGCUUACGGCUCCCCCACCCCU
Molecule: RNase P RNA, 361 nt
Filed under: Gemmatimonadota bacterium
Lineage: Bacteria; Pseudomonadati; Gemmatimonadota
Description: RNase P RNA component class A
Rfam family: Bacterial RNase P class A
About the family: Ribonuclease P (RNase P) is a ubiquitous endoribonuclease, found in archaea, bacteria and eukarya as well as chloroplasts and mitochondria. Its best characterised activity is the generation of mature 5'-ends of tRNAs by cleaving the 5'-leader elements of precursor-tRNAs.
Source: RNAcentral